GUUGAUUAGUCUAAUUAGGGAUAAUAAUUAGGGUUAAAGGAUAAAGUAUAACAUCAAUCUUUAUAACUAAUUGAUUUAAUAAUUUUCUCGUUUAAUAUAAAAUAACAUAUAUUUAAUUAGGGAUUAAUAUAAUGAAAAAUUAUGAUUAAUUGAUUGGGGUUUUUAGGGAUAAUUAUGUGAUAGAAAUUUUAUGGUAAAAAAAAAUAGGGAUAAGGGAUAUAAUCCUUGGGUUUAUAAAAUUACUCUUUUAAAUUUAUUUUC
This 261-nucleotide long non-coding RNA is filed under the name Lathyrus oleraceus (garden pea). RNAcentral's name for it is "Pisum sativum (pea) long non-coding RNA (PSAT_LNC027143)". The record is from RNAcentral. Lineage: Eukaryota; Viridiplantae; Streptophyta; Magnoliopsida; Fabales; Fabaceae.